Molecule: RNA transcript, 2794 nt
Organism: Oxyura jamaicensis (ruddy duck)
Lineage: Eukaryota; Metazoa; Chordata; Aves; Anseriformes; Anatidae
Gene: RPAP2
Gene name: RNA polymerase II associated protein 2
Exons: 12
Source: RefSeq, a predicted model, not a curated record
CAGCCGGCGGCGUGCACCCCUCAGCCGUCGCCGCUCUGCCGCCUCCCGCCGGGCUGGGCCGCACCGAGACGGCUCCGCCUCCGGUAAGAGGUCAGGGGGAGGGAGCCAGCAGCCGGCAGCCACCACCACCACGAUGGCGGCCAGGAGGCCGCAGAGCAGCCCCAAGGGGAAGCCCGGCCGGCGGCGCGCAGGAAAUAAACGUUCAGCUGCUCCGGAAAAUGAAGACGUCGCUCAGAGGAAAGCAGUCCUGGAAGCUGCUACUAGAAAGAAGAUUGAAUUUGAGAAAAAAGCACUGAAUAUUGUUGAGCAGCUUUUGGAAGAGAACAUUACAGAAGAGUUCCUUCUGAAUUCUGGAAAAAGUAUUACUCCAUCUCAUUAUAAAGACAUUGUUGAUGAACGGUCUAUCAUCAAAUUAUGUGGUUAUCCUAUAUGUCAAAAUAAACUGGAAAAUGUACCAAAACAGAAGUACAGAAUUUCAACAAAAACUAACAGAGUUUAUGAUAUUACUGAAAGAAAGUGCUUCUGCAGCAACUUCUGCUACAGAGCAUCUAAAUAUUUUGAAGCUCAAAUUUCCAAAAGUCCAGUAUGGAUGCGAGAAGAAGAAAUACCACCAGACAUAGAGCUGCUGAAGGAGGGGCAGAGCGGCGAGUCUGGAGAAGAGGUGAAACUACGUGAUGAAGCAAUUAAAGCUUCUGACAUUGAAAAUCCUAGGCUAUCUUCAAAUCCAUGUGAAUCUACUUCUCGUGACACAGCCAGUGACAGCAGUAGUGAUACCGAACAAGAAUUUGUUUCUUCUGUUCUACCAGGAAGUCAGUCAAGCUCAGCUAAUCUUGCACAGCAAUUGCACAGAAACAGCAUCCUCAAAAAGAAAUAUAUUGAGAAAGUCUAUUCCAGCCCUAAAGCUGAAGACUUGGAUGUGGUAGAAGCCACUGAACAACUAUCAAAUUGUAAAUUAGAUGUUCAGGAUGAAAUGCAUGCUUGCUCUGUUCAAAAUAACGUAACUCCAACACCUUCAAAAAAUCCUACUCCAGGAACAUCAAAUGUUUCAGAAAAUGUUGAAAACACCUUUAGUGGAUCACAGAUAGUUUUUCUAGGUGUGAGCAAAAAAGGGGCAGAACGUCUUACAAGAAUACUAGUUAACUCAAAACAAUAUAAAAAAAAUGAACUGCGGGAUCCAGUUAAUUCCUUGGCUGCCAAAGGCAGUUUAUUAGAAGUCCUUAAGCAAACACUUACUGAAUGGAGAACUGAGGAAACUUUAAAAUUUCUCUAUGGCCCAAACUACACUUCUUUAUGCUCGUCAGAAUGCAAAUCAUCUGCCAACCAAGAAAGUGAAGAACGUGACGAGGAUGACCUAGAUGCAGAUGAUGAUCUUGACACUGUUGCACCAGGGGAGUCUGAAAACAGUUUGAACUAUUCCUUACCUUAUACAGGCUCAGGUGGAGUAGCUAAGCCUGUGCCAAGUUACGAAAAGUUAAAAGAAGAAACAGAAUUCCUAGAACUCCGAGUAAAAGAGUUCUAUAAAGGGAAGUGCAUCUUGGCUGAAGAGGCAGUGACACAUGCACAAACAGAGGAACUUCCAAGCAAAGACAAAGAUGAUGAACAGCAAGACCUCACGUUCCCACUUGUUGAUUCAAAUGCACAAAUGCAGAUUAGAAAGCGAAUCGUCCUUGAAAAACUGAGAAAAGUAUUACCUGCAGUUUUGGGCCCUCUUCAGAUUACUCUAGGGGAUGUUUACACUGAGCUAAAAAAUCUUGUGAAAACUUUUCAGUAAUGCCACGUUCCCUGUGGACUAACAAGCCCUUCCUUGCUCCUGACAGUGGCUGGGUCACCAGGAGUAUUUGCAGAUUUUUAAAAACUAGGCCAGUGGUCUCUGGAGGACGGUGUUGCACAGGAGCUUCAGGACAGGUGUUAUACUGAAGGGUUGUGGAAGCCUCACUUCAUCCAGUCUGGUGACAGAGGUACAUCAGCAGUUCUGUACUGCCACAUGCUGCUGGUUAUCUGUCUUAGGACUACCUCCUUCAGAAAUAGCAUAUUGAUGGCAAUGACUAGUGUUGAGACCUUGCCAAUCAAUACUACCAUUGAAUAAGAGUUAAUUGACACAAAUAACUGCAUCUCUCAGUUUGUGUAAAGAGUGACACCUUCCUGUACUCUAAUCAAUAAUAACUCCUUGUAGAGCAUUGAAAUAAAGCUGCUUUCUCUCUUUGACAGAGUUUUCCCUGGUGAUUUGGAUCUGUCUCUUCCAUUGUGUCUUACCAUAGCAGAUUAACUGGAAUGUUACAUAUGAAUUGCCUGUCAAGAUGAUUCCAUCAGGCAUUUCUUGGUAGUGUUUAUCACUGUCAUCAGUAUUGAGUCAAGACCUUCAGCCUUUGCUUUGUUUCUUUUCCUAUAACCUGAAAAAUGAAACAGCUUUGUUGCCAGCUACUUCCAUUAGCUAUUUCAAAUAACAACUGGUAAACAUGCAUCUUUUAAUAGCAAAAAUCAUCUGUAUUUACCAAAAUUAUUGGUUCUAGUUUGGCAUGAUGGUUCCUAUACAUGUAGUAUAAUACACUGCUUUUCCUUUCAUCAUUUAACAAAACUAGGGCAGUUAAGGUACUAUUUGAGUAAACAUUGCUUCAAAAUCUUACUUUGGUUGGAAGACUUGGAGAUUUGAGAAGGAAAACAGGAUAAUAUUGCUUUGUUCAUUACUACUCUUAAAAAUAUUUUUGAAUAUAUUUCUGAAAAAAGGGAAAUGAUCCUUUAAAACACCUUCAUAACUAUUUUUAAUGAUUAUUUUGAAUAUAACUGGGUAGAUUUU